Long non-coding RNA from Neodiprion virginianus, 2172 nucleotides. RefSeq lists it as uncharacterized. The record is from RefSeq and is a predicted model, not a curated record. The transcript has 3 exons. NCBI's taxonomy places the organism in Eukaryota, Metazoa, Arthropoda, Insecta, Hymenoptera, Diprionidae.
CGCUGAGCAGUGGUGCUACAGGUUUCUCUCUGCUUGGUGCUACUAUCCAGUUUACGCAAAGCAAAUUACCGACUCUGCGCUCGAUAUCCGCAGGAACACUCAGUCGGGGCUGACGUCAACCUCUGACCGCUUCUCCCAUCUAGAAUUUAGACUGUACACCACGUCAAAUUAGCUAGAAGUACCUGGCGUUCGUUAGCUGUUGGAUUCUCGUAACUCGGGAACGGUCAGAUAAGUCAACGUCUGAAGGGUGACGGGAAGUGGUUUGAAAUAUGGAGGAUGGUUUAGCCUUGGGCACGGUGGCUUCGGCGAUAAUUUCGCCAACGGAUCGACCACCGCAGGUUCCACGAUCGGUGGAGACGGGCAGAGCCACGUGGACUUUGUGGACACCGAGGUGGCAGAAAAACGGCUUUCGAGAUCGCCGGUGGGGUCGACACUCGGCGAAGGGAAGCGAGCAAGGACGUGGCCGAGUUCUGCAUCGCGUACCAGCCUCAUUUCCUGGAGUGCCUCGGAAGUUCGCCUCGGCGAACUUCUUCAGGGCAACCGUCCUCGGAGAUGGGAAAGAAGGCGGAGGCCGAGGCUCGGGUUCCGUCGGAGACGAGCUUCUCGUGCAGGGCCGUGACGACUCGGUGAAGAUGAGGACAUCACCCGGCGUCCUGGUGUAGCGGGGAUCGCAGAGCCUAGGAUCGGUUCUUCUGCACGCCUCCCGAUGCCGAUGGGCCACGCGACACGCCGAUGGCGGAGGCGUUGGUCUUUCGUCGAACUUGAACAAGUAAUCCCAGAAACUUUCCUGCGGCGAGGACGAGGCUGCAGGGCAGGGCGGACAGUUGCUUGGCUUCUCCUUGACGCGGACCAACCGCUUGCAGAAGUUAAGGAAAGGCCGACGCACCGGCUUCAAAGGUCGCCCGUAGCCUUCCUCGAGGCAUUUCGAAGAGGAACCGUCCGAUGGCUGCGGCCGCUGCGGCACCGACUCACCGCAUUUCCCGCGGCACUCCACGAGUCGUGCUGAUCGCGGACCUGGAUCCCGACGUAUCUCUGGUCCCGGAUGCUCUAAGCCAGCGGCUGCACGUGUGCUGAAUUUCCGACGGAUUCCAGACCAGCAGGGCUGGUAUUGAUGCACGUUUCCACGGUUUUUAGAGCAUAGAUUCGACUUCCGGUUGUGGCGAUAUUCCUGCGUUAUUCAUACAAGGGACGUAAAGAGUUCGUUGAACUUUUUUUUAAACAAAUUAACGAAUAACCAAAUCCGUUUUUUCCAGGCUGCUAUAACGAUUUUUCAGACAAUUUGUAAGUCAACGUCACCUAAUUAUGACGCUGAUGACGAAAAAUUAACCGUAGAUACAGUGUUUGUGGACCAGAAUUGUAACACAUUUUCACGAACAGUCAAAUUGAAAAAUCUAUGUAGAAUUCUGAAGUUGACCUCGUUGACUAAAGGUACGAAGGCAUUGAUGAAUUUUUGUGAAACUGACACGGAAACGUGUGCCAAGGUAUUUUGCGGACGAAAAUGUUUAUAGUUUAAAAAGUUGUACAAGGAUACAAACACGCGCUACCUAUAAGUGUGAGCGUAAUUUAUACGGGGUUUGAAAAUGCUUUAACCUUAAGACCGGAUGUUGCGGGGCGUUGGAAAGGAACGUGGCAUCGCGAGACCCCUAUAAAGUUUCCCACUGGGUGACGGGGGGCGCAGGAUAGGAUCGAGGAAGAGAAAGACGAAUGUCCGACGGCUGCGGCACGCUUGAGCAAGGGUAUAAGUUUGAAACUUGGUAAAAUCUGAUGAAAAAUUUUGAUUCCACGUCGAACAGGUAACAUUACGCGAUGAUUACCACGCGGCGAUGCCUUGGUGGGCGAUCAUUUUUAAUUGAAACAAAAGGACGAUUUAGCGGUAAAAAUAAUCGAUGCAUCGACUAAUCGAGUCCGAAGAAACAAUCGAACGCAACACGGUUGAAUCGGUAAAAAUGAAUCGAUUAAUGGCAUAAUUAAAGAAAAGUAAUUGAGUUUGAAGAAUAAUCGAUUAUAUUCGAUUAAUCGGGGAUUAAAAUCGAUUAUUACUUGUCACUCUUAGUUAGCAAGUAUUCCACAUUUCGGUACAAUUACACCCUCUGCAUAUAUUUUAUUAUUUCAUUAUAUCUAUCGCAAGGUUGUUAUUUUCUUUAAAAAAAAAAUAAUCAUACCUGAUAUUAU